Molecule: ribosomal RNA, 483 nt
Filed under: uncultured bacterium
Lineage: Bacteria
Description: partial 16S ribosomal RNA
Rfam family: Bacterial small subunit ribosomal RNA
Source: RNAcentral
AUUGAACGCUGGCGGCAGGCCUAACACAUGCAAGUCGAGCGGAUGAAGGGAGCUUGCUCCUGGAUUCAGCGGCGGACGGGUGAGUAAUGCCUAGGAAUCUGCCUGGUAGUGGGGGAUAACGUCCGGAAACGGGCGCUAAUACCGCAUACGUCCUGAGGGAGAAAGUGGGGGAUCUUCGGACCUCACGCUAUCAGAUGAGCCUAGGUCGGAUUAGCUAGUUGGUGGGGUAAAGGCCUACCAAGGCGACGAUCCGUAACUGGUCUGAGAGGAUGAUCAGUCACAGGGAAAAUGAGACGGGGCCCAGCCCCUGAGGGGGGGCGGAGGUGGGAAUUGUUGAAAAAGGGGGGAAGGCUGAACCCAGCCAGGCGGCGGGUGGAAAGAAGGUUUUUGAUUGGAAAACCCUUUUAAGUGGGGAGAAAGGAAAGUAAGUUAAUCCCUUGCUUUUUGAACGUCCCCAACAGAAAAAGCACCGCCAAACUCGGU